AUUUCUUGAGGGGGAAGAGUCACACAGUAGCUUGCUAUUGGGUCUCUUCGCGUGUCGCUUUUGCGUUGCACUAUAGCAAUUGCUGGCGCACCCCAC
Molecule: small nuclear RNA, 96 nt
Filed under: Lathyrus oleraceus (garden pea)
Lineage: Eukaryota; Viridiplantae; Streptophyta; Magnoliopsida; Fabales; Fabaceae
Description: Pisum sativum (pea) partial non-coding RNA
Source: RNAcentral